Molecule: long non-coding RNA, 971 nt
Organism: Cyprinus carpio carpio
Lineage: Eukaryota; Metazoa; Chordata; Actinopteri; Cypriniformes; Cyprinidae
Source: Ensembl
GGGGCAACUAAAAAUCUCUGGCCUGUUGAUCUCAGACUACGUGAGGACGUACGCAGCUGUAUCAGGUCAGAGAUGUAUGGGGGCGCCUGUCCUUGUAAGGCUCUAAAAGUUAAAACCAAAAUUUUAAAGUGCAUUCUAAAUUUAGGUUAGCUGACCCAGUGUGUUGUGAUUUGUUAACCGUGUACUCCACGUUGUCCAAAAACUUCAUGCCCAGUACCAUUACAGGCAGUAGUUGCAUGUGCUCCGGUGGAAGGUAAAUAAUGGUGUCAAUAUUGCCGUAUUAAUUUAAGGUCUGAUUACAUAGAAGUUAGUUGAGGCCCCAGCCCGGCUACGUGCCCAAGGUUCCCACUACACCCUUCAAAGACCAAGUGGUGAACCUGCAAGCGCUGCCCCUGGAGGAGGCAGACCCAGCCCUGGCUUUGCUUUGUCCCGUCUGAGCACUGAGAUGCUACGCAGACCAGACACAAAGCUUCAGGAACUCAGACUAGCUCUUUGCCUGUUACGGAGUCUGGCAGAAGGGGAAUGCCGUCUCUAAGCAGAGGAUGGCCCACUGGAUUGUGGAUGCCAUAACCCUGGCUUAUCAGGCAGAGGGUGUGCCCUGCCCGUUGAGGUUGCGAGCUCACUCAACUAGAAGUGUUGCAUCCUCCUGUGAGCUGGCUUGUGGCACCUCGCUGAUAGAUAUUAGUAGAGCUGCGGGCUGGGCGACCCCUAACACGUUCGCUAGGUUCUAUAGCCUUCGUGUAGAGCCGGUAUCCCCCUGUGUUCUCACCUCAAACGGGUAGUGGCACCGAGAGGCUUGCUAAAACUGCUCCAGAGUGUCCGUACUGUAGACCCUGUUGAGAUCCUCCAUUACCCUAGGCAGCUAGAUGCGUCGGAACGUCCGGCGCCAGGCCUUCAUGAUGAAUCCGUGAGAACCAUGGAAGGCUGGGUUCCAUAUUGAGACCUAAGCAGUACUCGUACGUGUAUAGUCC